This 253-nucleotide ribosomal RNA is filed under the name uncultured bacterium. Its description in RNAcentral is "partial 16S ribosomal RNA". It matches the Rfam family "Bacterial small subunit ribosomal RNA", at positions 524 to 776 of the family's 1533-position model. The record is from RNAcentral.
GACGGAGGGGGCAAGCGUUGUCCGGACUCACUGGGCGUAAAGGGUGCGCAGGCGGUUCUGUGCGUCGGCGCUGAAAGUGCCCGGCUCAACCGGGUGAGGCGCGCCGAUACGAUGGAACUUGAGGCUCGGAGAGGGUGGUGGAACUCCUGGUGUAGCGGUGAAAUGCGCAGAUAUCAGGAGGAACACCGAUGGCGAAGGCAGCCUCCUGGGCCAGCACUGACGCUCAUGCACGAAAGCGUGGGGAGCAAACAGG